GCGGGGAAUAUUGGACAAUGGGCGAAAGCCUGACGCAGCCAUGCCGCGUGAAUGAUGAAGGUCUUAGGAUUGUAAAAUUCUUUCACCGGGGACGAUAAUGACGGUACCCGGAGAAGAAGCUCCGGCUAACUUCGUGCCAGCAGCCGCGGUAAUACGAAGGGGGCUAGCGUUGCUCGGAAUUACUGGGCGUAAAGGGCGCGUAGGCGGACAGCUUAGUCAGAGGUGAAAGCCCAGGGCUCAACCUUGGAAUUGCCUUUGAUACUGGGUGUCUUGGAUUUGGGAGAGGUGAGUGGAACUCCGAGUGUAGAGGUGAGAUUCGUAGAUAUUCGGAAGAACACCAGAGGCGAAGGCGACUCACUGGCCCAAUACUGACGCUGAGGCGCGAAAGCGUGGGGAGCAAACAGGAUUAGAUACCCCAGUAGUCC
RNAcentral lists this ribosomal RNA (425 nucleotides) under uncultured bacterium. RNAcentral's name for it is "partial 16S ribosomal RNA". It matches the Rfam family "Bacterial small subunit ribosomal RNA", at positions 354 to 796 of the family's 1533-position model. The record is from RNAcentral.